Zonotrichia albicollis (white-throated sparrow) is the source of this 3418-nucleotide non-coding RNA. NCBI's taxonomy places the organism in Eukaryota, Metazoa, Chordata, Aves, Passeriformes, Passerellidae. The record is from RefSeq and is a predicted model, not a curated record.
AAAUGGACCAUGGUAUACAGGUGGCUUAACUUCCUGUUGUUAUGCAUACAGCUGUGGAGGAAUGUUACCUUCAUUCCACAAGAAUCCUGGCCAAGGAGAAGAGCUGAGAACUGGUAAAUAUGCAAAACUUAAUUAGUCCUCAGUGUGUAGACAAACCACCCUAAGCCCAGUCACAGGAAUUUGAUGAUCAACAGACUGUACUGUCCACUUUGUACAAGCUGAGAUGUUUCUUGGUCAUGACUUCUGAGGACUUACAGCCUUCCCGGGCUCCCAAGAUCCAAGGAUGCCCUCUUACCUUGUCUUGAAGCAUCUAAAGGAAAACUGGAAAGAGCAGUGAUACAUGAACAAUUCCCAGCUUUCCCAGCAGGAAGAUUGGCCUCUUUACGUUGGAAGACCUCUGGCUGUGGUGUUUGCAUUUCAGAGCCUUUCCACCUGUUUUGGAUAAGCUGGGUGAAAUUGCUCAGCAAGCAAGAUGACUUUGACAAAACGCUAAAUCUUUUGGCCAAUGUCCAUCAGAAGAUGAGAGGAGAGAGGAACGGGGCAGAAGUUCACAUUCAAGAAGGCAAUAUGAAACUACCUAUAGACACCAAAUGAGGUCAAGGACCAUUGUACUUUCAUACUGGUGUCCUUUUGUGAGGCAUUUAAAAUCAAAAUACUCUGGCACAUAAAGGAAGCAGAUUUACACCUUCCUAGAAAGAAAAGCAGAAGUGACCAGUCACUGUUGCCAGGAGCAUUCUGCCUUUUUCAGAAGAACUUCUCAAGGAGCCCAGGGAUAUGUGCUGCUUUAGAACUUAAAAUCAGGGUGCUGAGCUGUGCCUGUGGGAAUGCACACUGAGUGGUGAGCUCUGCUGGGUCUGAUGGUACCACAAAACAGACACAUCAAGGACACAAAGUCCUUUCUCUGCUGCCAAGCUGCUGUGUCAGGCUGAAAGCCUCAGCACCUCAGUUUCAGGUGGAAUAUUCAGGUGCCAUUCUGUAUUUCAGUGCAGCUGCUUUCAUUAGUGUUUAGAACAAUCCUGGAAUGCUCCUGGCAGUCGAGUUCCCUGUUCCACUGGUGCAGCUGCUCAGUUACAUGCCUGCUGCCCAUGUAAAUUUUCUUCUUGAAUCAAAAAGUAGCAAGAGAUGAAGAACUGUUGGAAAUAUUGAGCUAACCAAGCGUGCUCGAGGGAAUGAGGAGACCAUUAAAAGGUAACAUUAGAAAAGCUUUGCUUGACACAGAGUAUAGACACAGACCAGUGAAAAUAACAAAUUUGUAUAUGCCAGUACUGUUCUGUAACAAGAUUCUAAGUCAAAGAUGAAGCUAAAGUCAUAAUUGGUGUCAGUUUUCCAGGUGAAAGAGAAGGAUUCAGGAUUAAUGAAAAGAUUGGUUAGUUUUGUCUCCAUCAUCAAACUACAAGGAUAAAAAAUUAGGACAGAGAGGAGAGGUUUUCAGGAACCACAGCUACUCAGGAAGCUUCCUGUCCUUUCUCUUUCACAGGCUCUUCCUUUCAGGCCCAUUUGGACAAACAUCAGUCAGUCUCCUUUAGUCUGUUUUGGUGAUGUUCUGUGGGCUUCCAGCUUAUUUCUGCAUAGCCUGAAAUGUCUGUAUUUGCAUCCCAAGCUACCCAAAAUUUUCUUUAAUUAUUUCCCAGGAGAUUUCCUUUGUUCUUUGAGGGGGCAGCACUGCAUUGCUACACCCAAGGGCUUGUCAGCAUCCCCUAGACAUGUCUAAUCUCACAGGAUACUGUAACACAUCAGAUUUAAUUGCAGAGAGCUACAGUUUGUUUCACAGGGCUUCAGAACAGAUGCCAGCUAUUUAAGGUGCUUACACCGCAAUAACUUGUUGCUUUUUUUUUUUCCUCCCCUUGGUAAUGUCUUUUUGUCUCUGACUUUAAUCCUCCUAUGACUUUGAGAAAAGUAUUUUCAUAUUUGUGAGGCCUCUGGAAAUUUUCAGAGCAUUCAGAUUAUGUUCUGAUAAAACUCUGACUUCAUGAGUACAUAUGUAUGAAAAACCUUAUUGAGAUUUAUUAUCUCAUUUUUAAAGUGUCAGUUAUGUCUUCUGCAUUUGUUCAGUCCAAAGGGAUUUUAAAAAAUCUCAUCAGAGCAGCUGUGGGUGAGAAAAGUUCAUUCCUUAUCAGUCAUCCAAACUUGCCAAGUCAGUUUUAUGAAAGCAGUGAAAUGAAUGCAGAAACUAAAUCCAGCUUGAUAACACUAAGCCAAAAGCAUAACAGGAAAAAGAGCAGUGUUGCUACUUUAGUUUUCCUCAUCUGGAACUGAAAUGGAAGGGAAUGGUCUGGAUCGAAGGCGUGUCAGCAGGGCAGGCAGACCCACAGCACUGAAAAGAAAAGGUCAGACACAAAACUCUUUCUUCCAAACUGGAAUGCAGGGAAUUGUCAACCAGUCCCCAUCCACACAGAAGGAGUGUAAAUGUGAUGGUGAGGGGCCUGGUGCUGCUCCCCAUCAGCCUGGUGUCAGCUCAGAGCCUCCUGGCCCUGCAGUGCUCUGUGUCACUGUCCCGUGGAGCUGGAGCAGCCUCAGCCCUGUCAGAGCACACUGAUCCCCGGCUGUGCAUCUGGACUGCUGUUCAAGCAGCUCCACAGCUCCUUGCUGGCAGCCUCAGGGAUGUUUCAGUAGGAUCAACUCCUUUACCUACAGGGCCAUACAAAGAGAGGAGUUAGCAAGGGCUGUGGAGUGUUAGGGCAGAGGUGAUGAGCUGCCCUAACCAGAGCUCUCAUCAGGGCACCGUCUGCAGCACCUUCAGCGCUCUGUGCUCGGCCAAGGCUCCCAAUCCCCAGCUGGAGGCACGUGGAAAUCCACUGCUGCCACACCUGAGGCUGUCAGGGAUUUUGGCUGUUACCCUCAGUCACAUUUAGCCUGUUCAUGGUAGCCCAGUCUUAGGAAGGACAAGUUCUGCCAGCAGUCUUGGUUCCAGGCUGUGCUGUAACAACCCACAGUGGCCAAGAAACGUCUGGCCAGUGGGAGGGCACGGACAAGUUCCUCACAGCCACCUUUUGUGGAACUUGUGGUGGAUGGACUGGCCUCCCUUCUUGCCAAAGGCUUCUUAGGAACCUGGCUUCCAGACUGCCGGGGUUUGUCUUGCCCAAACCGUGCAGCACCGAGCUCCUGGGGUGUUGUUUCCCCAUCAGCCCAGCCCCGCUCCGGGCUCUGCUCACGGCUCCCCUUUGGCAGCUCCUCGGGGAGAGAUCCGGCAGCACCGGCGCUGCUCCCCCGGGGGAACGGCAGGAGGAGACGGGCACGCACCGUUCUGUCUCUGCGUCACUUCUCAGACUUACUCAGAAAAUGUUUCUGCAUUAAAGCAUAUUUCAGUAUUUCUGGAGGUCAAAUGGAACAUACUGAGUUCGCUCUGUUCAAAUCAGUUAUAUGUAAAAAGAAAUAUAUUUAGAAGAAUUAUUAAAUACUCCAGAAGACAAUUGGACAU